CAGUGAGGACUGGUUGAAUGGCUAUCCCAGUUAAUGAAAGCUAAUUAUCUUUAAUGAAAAGAAAUACAAAUGCAAAUCAAGGUGAAAAUUGUUGUCUUAAAUCAAGGUUUUCUACUGGAUGGUUUAAAUCCUGUUUGGAAUCUGUGACUGGAAGGUGCCAAAUUAACAGACUCUGGACACUGUGGGUUUGGAGAGUGCUUGGCUGGAGGACACAUGGAUGGAGCUCAGUGUGUGCCUGCCUCAUAACAUGAGAAGGAUCCCCAGCUGUUGAUGGACCAUUCUUGGUGCCCUUGUGAAACCUGGUGCUGUGCCCAUGCCAGGCAAACCUCCCCAUCUUCUGUCUUUGAAGGAAGCAAAGAGGAUCUUGGACCCUCCCCUCCUGUGGUGCCUGCAAAGCCAGAUGGGAGGUGGAUGUGGCCACCCACCUUUGGCUCUUCACAGCUGAUGGACAUGUGGAACAGCCCUGCAAGCCUGGCAAGGCAGGAGAGGACCUCUGGCCACACAUCUCCAGCACCAUGGCUGCAACCAGGUACUGGCUUGAGUAGAGUUUAGUGCAAGUUUUGCCCAGGAGGGGACAUGGGUGGGUCCUUGGGGCUUUUGUAGCUUGUAUCAAUGUUCCUUCAAUUGUGGAGGGGAGGAAGAUGAGAGGAAAUGCUUCCCAUUAUGAGGACAGGGUUGAAGAGCCCCUUCCUUGGCUGGGGCAGAGCGAGGGGCCAAAUUCCCCCCUGCCAGCCCCUGAGCCCAGUUCAUCUCUGGGCUGGAGUGGCAUGAAGAGAUCAAUCCAGUUAGUCUGGCUUUAAGCAGCCUGGGGUGGAUUCAGGCUGAAGCAGAAACACAUCCCGAUGAGCUGCUUACUUUUUUCAAACAGAUGAUGUUUGUGUCUGAUAAAUUUCUGCAGGCAAAAUUCCUUGGUCUAGGACCUUGACUCCUAAUUAAAUAUUUGCCAAGAUGGCACCUUGCCCUGCCUGAAGAAAUAUCCUCCUUUCACCUCCAUGUGGCUCUCUCCUCUUCUGUAAUCCUGCAGAUUCAGGAGAGCCAGUUGAAGACUCAGCUCCAAUAAAGCAAAGAAAAGCAA
This is a long non-coding RNA of Apus apus (common swift), 1075 nucleotides long. RefSeq lists it as uncharacterized. The record is from RefSeq and is a predicted model, not a curated record. Lineage: Eukaryota; Metazoa; Chordata; Aves; Apodiformes; Apodidae. The transcript has 2 exons.